RNAcentral lists this long non-coding RNA (709 nucleotides) under Meriones unguiculatus (Mongolian gerbil). Its description in RNAcentral is "lncRNA (ENSMUGG00000012044.1)". Lineage: Eukaryota; Metazoa; Chordata; Mammalia; Rodentia; Muridae. The record is from RNAcentral.
CGAUAGUCACCUUCAUUUUCCAUAAAACAGCCUAGACCUUUCCCCAAAUAAAUCAAUUUUACUUUUACAAUAACAUAAUCUUAUUCCUACAAGCAUGACUCUUAAUAUAUGUUUGGAAGUAGCAAAAUUCUUUUAAAAACACACCAUUUGCUCUUUUUGUAACAUAACUAAAAUCAUAUAUUUUCCUAAACAGGUGUGGUAAAGUCACUGUUUUUAUCCACCAGCUCUCUUGUCAUGAAAUAUGGAGAAUAGAAGGUCAUGGUUUUGAGACCUUUCUUGGAGUCCAAAGGCAACACAGAAAUUGACAAAAUCAGAACACAACAAAAUGUAGGUUCUCUUGCUUCAAGUGGACAUUCAUUCCAUUACAGCAUGCAAGGCAUGUCCGGCUUGACAGAAUUAGCGGAGAAGAUGUGAGACGCUGGAGUUUUAGAUAAAUCAAUGACAUUAGAUUGCUAAAUCUGGAAUUUGCUUCUCAAGAAAAAAGAGGGAAGAAAGAAGGAAGCAAAAAAGGAGAGAGAAGAAAAGGAGAGAAAAUAAGCUUAAUUUUUGUUAUUCAAUUCUUUACUUUGUACUUUCUCACUGUCAAUAAUAUAAUCGUAAAAAUAACAAAUAGUAUAAUUAAUGUAAUAUUAUAUAUACUUAUAGUAUAUGGUGUUAUAUAACAAAACAAAGCAAUAAAGAAGUAUAUUUGAAAAAUCUAAAUCUUUGA